RNAcentral lists this ribosomal RNA (253 nucleotides) under uncultured microorganism. RNAcentral's name for it is "partial 16S ribosomal RNA". It matches the Rfam family "Bacterial small subunit ribosomal RNA", at positions 524 to 776 of the family's 1533-position model. The record is from RNAcentral.
UACGUAGGGUGCGAGCGUUAAUCGGAUUUACUGGGCGUAAAGCGUGCGCAGGCGGCCCGUUAAGACAGGUGUGAAAUCCCUGGGCUCAACCUAGGAAUUGCGCUUGUGACUGGCGGGCUCGAGUACGGUAGAGGGGGGUGGAAUUCCUGGUGUAGCAGUGAAAUGCGUAGAGAUCAGCAGGAACGCCGAUGGCGAAGGCAGCCCCCUGGGCCUGUACUGACGCUCAUGCACGAAAGCGUGGGGAGCAAACAGG